UACGUAGGCAGCAAGCGUUGUUCGGAAUUACUGGGCGUAAAGAGUGUGUAGGCGGUGCUCUAAGUCUGUCGUGAAAUCUCCCGGCUUAACUGGGAGGGUGCGGCGGAAACUGGAAUGCUAGAGGGUGGGAGAGGAAAGCGGAAUUCCUGGUGUAGCGGUGAAAUGCGUAGAUAUCAGGAGGAAUACCGAUGGCGAAGGCAGGUCUCUGGGCUGACACUGACGCUCUUGCACGAAAGCGUGGGGAGCAAACAGG
RNAcentral lists this ribosomal RNA (253 nucleotides) under uncultured bacterium. RNAcentral describes it as "partial 16S ribosomal RNA". It matches the Rfam family "Bacterial small subunit ribosomal RNA", at positions 524 to 776 of the family's 1533-position model. The record is from RNAcentral.